RNAcentral lists this ribosomal RNA (626 nucleotides) under Tenacibaculum sp. RNAcentral's name for it is "bacterial SSU rRNA". It matches the Rfam family "Bacterial small subunit ribosomal RNA", at positions 119 to 743 of the family's 1533-position model. Lineage: Bacteria; Pseudomonadati; Bacteroidota; Flavobacteriia; Flavobacteriales; Flavobacteriaceae. The record is from RNAcentral.
AUAGAAUCUGCCUUGUACAGGAGGAUAGCCUUUAGAAAUGAAGAUUAAUACUCCAUAGUUUAGGGAUGUGGCAUCACAUUCUUAUUAAAGAUUUAUCGGUACAAGAUGACUAUGCGUCCUAUUAGCUAGAUGGUAAGGUAACGGCUUACCAUGGCUACGAUAGGUAGGGGGUCUGAGAGGACUAUCCCCCACACUGGUACUGAGACACGGACCAGACUCCUACGGGAGGCAGCAGUGAGGAAUAUUGGUCAAUGGAGGCAACUCUGAACCAGCCAUGCCGCGUGCAGGAAGACUGCCCUAUGGGUUGUAAACUGCUUUUAUACAGGAAGAAACAGGUCUACGUGUAGAUCCUUGACGGUACUGUAAGAAUAAGCACCGGCUAACUCCGUGCCAGCAGCCGCGGUAAUACGGAGGGUGCAAGCGUUAUCCGGAAUCAUUGGGUUUAAAGGGUCCGCAGGCGGUCAAUUAAGUCAGAGGUGAAAUCCCAUAGCUUAACUAUGGAACUGCCUUUGAUACUGGUUGACUUGAGUUAUACGGAAGUAGGUAGAAUAAGUAGUGUAGCGGUGAAAUGCAUAGAUAUUACUUAGAAUACCGAUUGCGAAGGCAGCCUACUACGUAUAUACUGA